Molecule: long non-coding RNA, 1824 nt
Organism: Gasterosteus aculeatus aculeatus (three-spined stickleback)
Lineage: Eukaryota; Metazoa; Chordata; Actinopteri; Perciformes; Gasterosteidae
Source: Ensembl
AUGUGGAAUGUUUUAAAAUAAUUUAUUAGGAAUUUUAAAAAGUUUUUUUUCAAAAGAAUAAACAUGACAGGAAAAAGAAAAUCAGAAAAUGUUACAGUGUUGACAAGAUUGUUAUUUUUCAGUGAAAACGGCAUCAAAGUAUGACCUUUGUAGGCCACAGCAGUGUGAGCAAGUAUCAAAAUGUAAAACCUGGUACUUUGUAGAUGAAGGGUGCUUUGUUCUUAAGCUAACAUUCAAAAUAAAACACAUUUAUCGUGAUCGGCCAGUGCAACGUCCGAGUAGCUCUGAACAUACUUGUUUUGGUCUAAAAAUAGCUGUCACAUUGCUACAGUCUGUGACCUCCAGUGGAUAUGCAGUGAUGGAUUGGGGGCUGCAGGGGGGUCGACAGUUAAACAAACAUUUACAAGACCCCCCCUCCCCUUCCUUGUUAGAAAAGCCACCUUUCUAAAAGGUUCAACAAUCCUCACUUUGACACAGAUGUUAAUGUAAUAAUAAAAAAGUCAGAUUAAAAUUUCACAUUUGAAACUGAGGUUCUCCCCCCCCCCACCCCCCAAAAAAAAAAAACCGCACAUCGCACAUUGGAAACACAUGAAACGCUCACGCAAACAUCAACGCAACCUGCAGAGCAUGUCGGUCACAACAGUGAUGACUGUGCACAACAGCUCCAGCACGCGACGUCUUCAUUUUCCUUCACAAUCAAUCAACGCGUAUUGAAAAUCACAGUUAAAACAGCAAUAUGACUAAGUAAGAAAACGGCAUGAUUUUUUUUUUUUACUCACACCCAUGUAUCCCCAAAAGUAAAGUGUUCUUCCAAACUCGGCCUCCCUCCCCCCCGCGACUCAAGGUGUUUCAAUUCUGAGGCAGUUUUGAAAUACAGUGAAAUAAUCCAAUGAGAUUCUGUAUAAAAUGCCUGAGGAGGAAUACAGUAGGCGGCUGGUCUGAUAUUCACUGACAAACGUACUGAUAUGUUGUUAACAUCCUCUCUGUGAAAGCAUGAGGCCUAACAAUCAAGCUCUCCAACACAUUACAGUUGGUGAGAGAAGCAUCUUAUUUGCCUCCGACCUCCUACACACAAGCAUCAGCUGCUGCCCUCCUCCUCCCAAGAAACCAGUCAUAUUUACAAUAUUUUACAAAAUUGUACAGCUCAUUGGGGCCUAUUACGUAAAUGUGACUAAUGACCUUUGUCGUUUGAGCAUUAUUAGUGUAAGAUUUUUUUGUUAAAAACCUACAAGACAUACACUUUGUGACACAUUUCAAGAAAGAGUAUUAAUCACAAAUGAUUUGUUAAAAUUCAGUAUGAACUAGUGACAAAUAUAUAGUUUUUCAGUACAAAUUACAGCCUGUGACCUGGCUCCCCCUGGAGAUUUUUUUCCAUCAGGUUCAAAGGUCAAAUAAACCAAUAAAACACAAUCAAAACAGAUAAAGAAACAAUGCAGCAUCACAAAAGAAAACAGCAUGGUGAAACAUAACAACAGAGAAAAAGAAAAAACACCAAAAUACAGCAUCUUAUGUGUUGCGAUUACAUGUAGUCAUAAACCUUUUUGCUCAUUUUGUGAACUUUCUCUUCUUUUUUUUUUCCAGGAGGGGGAGUUAAGUGAGGCGUCAGUAGGGUGGGUCGGGUUCAGACUGACACCAAGGAGGAGGGGUGAAAGUUCAUCUGCCCUGGCCAGAGAGGUGGACUGGACAGAGACAGGCCAGAUGAGCUCCAGAGCAGCUUCAACUCCUUCCAGCUCUCAGUCUACACCGAAAAGACACCGAAAAAACACCCAGGUUACUCACAGGCGAGUCCCUGCGAAACAGUCUUAUACGUUAGGUGCAACAAGA